RNAcentral lists this long non-coding RNA (2455 nucleotides) under Macaca mulatta (Rhesus monkey). RNAcentral's name for it is "lncRNA (ENSMMUG00000049874.1)". Lineage: Eukaryota; Metazoa; Chordata; Mammalia; Primates; Cercopithecidae. The record is from RNAcentral.
GAAAUUUUUAAAAAGAUCUUUUUUUUUUCUCCUAGAGAGUUUUUUGUCCACUCUGUUUUUCAACACUUAACUGAGAAAACACAGUGACUACAAAGGGCAACAAGUUCCCAGGCCAGUGGAAGGAAUUAAUGUGUGUCCAAAUAAUUGCAGUGUAAUAGCACAUCUGCAUAUAUCGGAGACAUUGGAAGCUAUGAAUGCACAGAAGAAAAAUGUCCAACUCUGCCUAAUAAACUUACUAAUAAGAAGAAUAGAAGAAAAACGAUAUUUGUGAACCAAAAAGUCAGUGACUGAAGAUGAGCGAAUGUAAACAAUUUGGUGAUUGAACAGGAAAGGAUGAAUGUGAGAGCCUGCAGACUACACAGAAGAAAGGAGAUGAUACAGAUUGGAGAAGAAAGGUGUCUGAAGACAUAGAUAGGAUGCUCUUUCUGAAUUGCUCCAGACAGCAUUUUUUCUUCCCAGCCUACACAGGAAAGGAUAGAGGAUACUGAAUCUCCUAUCAUUGGCUUUAUGUGGACUGGGAGACUCCUUUUUCCUUCCUUCAGGAAACGUUGAGGCAUUGGUCAACCAGGAAACAACCACAGGAGCCCAGGGCCCAGGUCUACUUUGUGUGUCUUGGCGAUCAUUCCGGUGGGCCAAACUUCCCCGCCUGCACGUGAAAGCCGGCUCCCCCCUGACCCGGAAGUCCACUUUCGAGUUGCACGUGUGGCUUCUCUUAUACACAAAUUUUCUUCCAUCUCUGCCACCCCUGAGACAGCAAGACUGCUACCUUAUUUUCCUCCUCCUCCUUAGCCUACUCAACAUGAAGAUGAUGAGGAUGACCACCUUUAGGAUGAUCCAUUUCCACCUAAUGACUGGUAAAUAAAUUUUUUCUUCCUUAAAAUUUUCUUAAUAUUUUCUUUUCUUUAGUUUACUUUAUUAUAAGUAUAUAACAUAUAUAAUACAAAAUAUGUGUUAAUAGACUGUUUAUGUUAUUGUUAAGAAUUCCAGUCAACAGUAGGCUAUUAGUAGUUAAGUUUUUGCAUAGUCAAAAGUCAUACACAAAAUUUCAGCUGCAUGUGGGAACAGCACCUCUAACCCCCACACUGUUCAAGAGUCAACUGUAAUUGGAUUAAUAUCUGCCAUAUCUGUAACUAUUUUCUCUUUAUUGAAUUUCUUAUUUCUUUUUGCCCCUUCUUUUCCUGCAUUUACUGGUUUAACUGAGCAUUUUAUAUGAUUUCAUUUUAUCUUCUCUCUUCAUGUAUAAAUCAUACUGUUUUUUUAAAAUUGUGGUUUUCCCUAGAUUUUAAGAUAUGAGUUUUAAAAUAAUCUACGUCUGCCUUCAAAUAAUGCUAUUGCACUUCAAAUGUAGUGAAGGUUCCCUACAGAAUAGUAUUCCCAGUUCUUCCUUUCUGUCCCUUGUGACAUUGCUGCCAUUCAUUUAAUUUAACCAUUUGCUAUAAUCACCCAAAACAUUAAUAACAUACUAUCAUUUCUUUAUACAAACUAUUAUUUUUUAGAUCACUUGAUAAUUAAAAAACUUUAUUUUACUUUCCUUUAUUACUUCUCUAAUUCUCUUCCUUUCUUUAUAUAGUAGACUCAAGUUUCUGACCUUUCUCAUUUUCCUUCUGCUUGAAGAAUUUCUUUUAAUAUUUUUUGUAGGUCAGUUUGCUAGGAAUGAAUAUCUUCAGUUUUUGUUUGUCUUAGAAAGUCUUUCUUCUUCACUUUUGAAGGACAAAGUUUGCUGGGUAUAGAAUUCCAGGAUGGUGGAAUUUAUUCUUGCAAUGCUUUAAAUUUUUUACUUUACUCUCUUGCUUCUCUGGUUUCUAAUAAGUCCACUGUAAUUCUUACCUUUGCUUUUCUGGCUUAUUUCCUGUCGUCUGGCUUCUUCUAAAAGAUUUUCUCUGUGACUUUGGUUUCCUGCAGUUUGAAUAUGGUAUGCCUAGAUAGGGGUUUUUAAAAGUAUUUAUUCAUCUUGGUGUUAUCUGUGCUUCCUGAAUUUGUAGUUUGGUAACUGUAUUAAUUUUCCAGGGCUGCCAUAACAAAUUACCUAUCACAAACUGAGCCAUUGAUAACAACAGAAAUGUAUUCCCUCGCAGUUCUGGAGGCUGGAAGUCUGAAAUGCAGCUGUUAGCAGGGCCAUGCUCCCUCUGAAACUUCUCUGGGGAGAGAAUCCUUAUUUGCCUCUUCCAGCAUCUGGUUGCUGGCUAUCCUUGGCAUUCCUUGCUGAUAGCUGCAUCAUUUCAAUUUCUGCCUCUAUCUUCACAUGGCCAUCUUUCCUCUGUGUGUGUCUAUGUCAUCACAUUACCUUCUUAUAAGGAUAGCAUUCAUUGGAUUUAGGGCCCACCCAAAUCCAGUAUGACUUCUUCUGAACUAAUUACAUCCACAAAGACCCUAUUUUCAAGUAAGGUCACAUUCUGGGGUUCUGCAUGGAAAUUAAUUGGGGUGGUGCAGUCUUCAAGCCCGUACAGUGUCUGUC